RNAcentral lists this ribosomal RNA (459 nucleotides) under uncultured bacterium. RNAcentral's name for it is "partial 16S ribosomal RNA". It matches the Rfam family "Bacterial small subunit ribosomal RNA", at positions 338 to 795 of the family's 1533-position model. The record is from RNAcentral.
CCUACGGGAGGCAGCAGUGAGGAAUAUUGGUCAAUGGCCGGAAGGCUGAACCAGCCAAGCCGCGUGAAGGACGAAGGUGCCAAGCAUUGUAAACUUCUUUUGUCAAGGGACAAAAUCAGGCUCGAGCGCCUGACCGAGGGUACUUGAAGAACAAGCAUCGGCUAACUCCGUGCCAGCAGCCGCGGUAAUAUGGAGGAUGCGAGCGUUAUCCGGAUUUAUUGGGUUUAAAGGGUGCGUAGGCGGACUGUUAAGUCAGCGGUAAAAGCCCGGGGCUCAACCCCGGCGAGCCGUUGAAACUGGCGGUCUUGAGAUGUCGAGAGGUAUGCGGAAUGCGCAGUGUAGCGGUGAAAUGCUUAGAUAUUGCGCAGAACUCCGAUUGCGAAGGCAGCAUACCAGCGGCGAUCUGACGCUGAGGCACGAAAGCGUGGGUAUCGAACAGGAUUAGAUACCCCUGUAGUC